RNAcentral lists this ribosomal RNA (439 nucleotides) under uncultured bacterium. Its description in RNAcentral is "partial 16S ribosomal RNA". It matches the Rfam family "Bacterial small subunit ribosomal RNA", at positions 339 to 795 of the family's 1533-position model. The record is from RNAcentral.
CUACGGGCCGCUGCAGUGAGGAAUAUUGCACAAUGGGGGGAACCCUGAUGCAGCAACGCCGCGUGGAGGAUGACGCAUUACGGUGUGUAAACUCCUUUUAUAUGUCAAGAAAAUGACGGUAGCAUAUGAAUAAGCACCGGCUAACUCCGUGCCAGCAGCCGCGGUAAUACGGAGGGUGCAAGCGUUACUCGGAAUCACUGGGCGUAAAGGACGCGUAGGCGGGUUGGAAAGUCAGGUGUGAAAUCCUACAGCUUAACUGUAGAACUGCACUUGAAACUUCUAAUCUAGAGUAUGGGAGGGGGAGAUGGAAUUAGUGGUGUAGGGGUAAGAUCCGUAGAUAUCACUAGGAAUACCUAAAGCGAAGGCGAUCUCCUGGAACAUUACUGACGCUAAGGCGUGAAAGCGUGGGGAGCAAACAGGAUUAGAUACCCUAGUAGUC